This is a long non-coding RNA of Pongo pygmaeus (Bornean orangutan), 985 nucleotides long. RefSeq lists it as uncharacterized. The record is from RefSeq and is a predicted model, not a curated record. Lineage: Eukaryota; Metazoa; Chordata; Mammalia; Primates; Hominidae. The transcript has 3 exons.
CCCAUCGUCCCUCCCUCCUACGGCCUUGUGCUCCAGCAGGGGAUACAUUUCUGGUAUGUCACAUUCCGUCUGUUCCUGUGUUUCUUACUCCCACUCCUCCAAUGUUUCUUUCCUUUGUUUCUUCCUCCUGGCCCUCCCAGCAGGCUCGCGUCACGUUUCUGCUUGCUGAGCAGAACAGCCCCGAGGGUCCUCCUCGAGAGAACGUGAUGUGUAGAGGUCUUCUACAGGUAGCUCAUUUUAUUUGGCCAUGAAUGGUUCAUUGCAUGCCAAGGUCACACAUGGUCCUAGUUUGCCAUGAGUGGGACCAUUCCGGUUUUAAAACUUAAAGGCCCCUGUCCCGGGAAAGCUCUCAGUCCCAGGGAAACUGGAACUACUUCAUUCAUGUGGACACUAUUGUCACAUUACUGUGCACUGUUUUUCUCACAUUUAACAGUUGAACCUUAUAGAUGAAAUUGUAAGAGUGAUCCUGAUACCUAAGACGUAGACAUUUAUGAGUAAUCGAUGUGUAUUGAAGGCUCUGUAUAUCUUCAUAGUGUGGAGGUAAAUGCAGCAUUAUGUGUUUGCCCCUGAAUACAUAUCCACUAAAAGCCUAUGAUUGGACCUCAGCCAUCACAUCUGCUCUUGGGGUGUCACACCAGAGUUCUAGAUGGACCCAGAAUUGCAGAGAGACAAGGUCAGGGGAAGGAGCCGGGAAAGAGGUUAACAAGACCACAGAUGCUGCAGAUGCGAUUCACACGAAGAUGUCCUUCCCACCAGCCAGGCCAUCGCUGGCUUUGUAAGACGCAGCCAACUGCCACCAGGUGGCAGAACAAGAUGAGAAAACUGUGCCCCACGGAGUCCCUGAGCCCCUUCUGCUGCAGUUUUUGAGGACAUUUGGGCAGCAGGGAUGUCUCUUCUUCUCUGCACUGCAUGCACCCAGGAAAGGCCAUGUGACGUCUUAGCAAGAAGGAGGCAAACCAUGAGGAGAGCCUUCAGCAGAAACCAA